UGGGGUAUAUUGGACAAUGGGCGCAAGCCUGAUCCAGCCAUGCCGCGUGUGUGAAGUAGUCCUUUUGGUUGUAAAGCAUUUUAAGCGAGGAGGAGGCUACUUGCAUUAAUACUCUCGGACAUUUGACGUCACUCUCAGAAUAAGCACCGGCUAACUCUGUGCCAGCAGCCGCGGCAUUACAGAGGGUGCGAGCGUUAAUUGGAUUUACUGGGCGUAAAGCGUGCGUAGGCGGCUUCUUAAGUCGGAUGUGAAAUCCAUGAGCUUAACUUAGGAAUUGAAUUCGAUACUGAGAAGCUAUAGUAUGGGAGAGGAUGGUAGAAUUCCAGGUGUAACGAUGAAAUGCGUAGAGAUAUGGAGGAAUACAGAUAGCGAAGGCAACCAUCUGACCGAAUACAGACGCAGAGGUACGAAAGAAUGGGGAGCGAGCAGA
Molecule: ribosomal RNA, 430 nt
Filed under: bacterium
Lineage: Bacteria
Description: partial 16S ribosomal RNA
Rfam family: Bacterial small subunit ribosomal RNA
Source: RNAcentral